UACAGAGGGGGCAAGCGUUGUUCGGAAUUACUGGGCGUAAAGGGCGCGUAGGCGGCCUGCUAAGUCGAACGUGAAAUCCCCGGGCUCAACCCGGGAACUGCGUCCGAUACUGGCAGGCUUGAAUUCGGGAGAGGGAUGCGGAAUUCCAGGUGUAGCGGUGAAAUGCGUAGAUAUCUGGAGGAACACCGGUGGCGAAGGCGGCAUCCUGGACCGAAAUUGACGCUGAGGCGCGAAAGCCAGGGGAGCAAACGGG
Molecule: ribosomal RNA, 253 nt
Filed under: uncultured bacterium
Lineage: Bacteria
Description: partial 16S ribosomal RNA
Rfam family: Bacterial small subunit ribosomal RNA
Source: RNAcentral